CCUACACGACCGUACCGCAAACCGACACUGGUGCGCGAGAUGAGUAUUCUAAGGCGCUUGAGAGAACUCAGGAGAAGGAACUCGGCAAAUUGACACCGUAACUUCGGAAGAAGGUGUGCCUUUAGUAGGUGAACCAUUUACUUGGGGAGCCCAAUGAGGCUGCAAAAAAUCGGUGGCUGCAACUGUUUAUUAAAAACACAGUACUCUGCUAAGACGAAAGUCGACGUAUAGGGUGUGACGCCUGCCCGGUGCUGGAAGAUUAAAUGAUGGGGUGCAAGCUCUUGAUUGAAGUCCCAGUAAACGGCGGCCGUAACUAUAACGGUCCUAAGGUAGCGAAAUUCCUUGUCGGGUAAGUUCCGACCUGCACGAAUGGCGUAAUGAUGGCCACACUGUCUCCUCCUGAGACUCAGCGAAGUUGAAAUGUUUGUGAUGAUGCAAUCUCCCCGCGGAAAGACGGAAAGACCCCAUGAACCUUUACUGUAGCUUUGUAUUGGACUUUGAACAGAUCUGUGUAGGAUAGGUGGGAGGCUUUGAAGUGUGGUCGCUAGAUCGCAUGGAGCCAACGUUGAAAUACCACCCUGGUGUGUUUGAGGUUCUAACCUAGGUCCAUUAUCUGGAUCGGGGACAGUGCAUGGUAGGCAGUUUGACUGGGGCGGUCUCCUCCCAAAGUGUAACGGAGGAGUUCGAAGGUACGCUAGGUACGGUCGGACAUCGUGCUAAUAGUGCAAUGGCAUAAGCGUGCUUAACUGCGAGACUGACAAGUCGAGCAGAUGCGAAAGCAGGACAUAGUGAUCCGGUGGUUCUGUAUGGAAGGGCCAUCGCUCAACGGAUAAAAGGUACUCUGGGGAUAACAGGCUGAUACCGCCCAAGAGUUCAUAUCGACGGCGGUGUUUGGCACCUCGAUGUCGGCUCAUCUCAUCCUGGGGCUGUAGCCGGUCCCAAGGGUAUGGCUGUUCGCCAUUUAAAGAGGUACGUGAGCUGGGUUUAAAACGUCGUGAGACAGUUUGGUCCCUAUCUUCCGUGGGCGCUGCAGAUUUGAGGAAGCCUGCUCCUAGUACGAGAGGACCGGAGUGGACGAACCUCUGGUGUAUCGGUUGUCACGCCAGUGGCAUUGCCGAGUAGCUAAGUUCGGAAGAGAUAACCGCUGAAAGCAUCUAAGCGGGAAACUCGUUUCAAGAUUAGAUCUGCCGGGGCCUUGAGCCCCCUAAAGAGUCGUUCAAGACCAGGACGUUGAUAGGUCAGGUGUGGAAGUG
Molecule: ribosomal RNA, 1253 nt
Filed under: metagenome
Description: bacterial LSU rRNA
Rfam family: Bacterial large subunit ribosomal RNA
Source: RNAcentral